This is a long non-coding RNA of Syzygium oleosum, 1665 nucleotides long. RefSeq lists it as uncharacterized. The record is from RefSeq and is a predicted model, not a curated record. The transcript has 2 exons. Lineage: Eukaryota; Viridiplantae; Streptophyta; Magnoliopsida; Myrtales; Myrtaceae.
GGGAGAUGCUUAGUUCUUACAAGGCAUGAAUUCAUUUUAUGAUAUGUGCAUGUAGUUGAGGCACAUAUUAAGGUUGAUUGACAUUUGAUCAAACUCAACAUUAUUGCAAUUUUACAAGAGUUACACUCUUAUAUCCAAAGUUUAUAAGAGAUUCUUUUAUUAUCAGACAGAAAGAAAUUGAGUCUGAUUCUACCGAUCUUCAAUGUCAAAAUUUGAUAACAAUGUUGUGAUUUUUGUGUUCCAUUCCAAAGCUGAAUGCCUUUAAGGAUCUUUGGAACUUCCACUGCAAUUUUGUAAUAAACUAAUUGAUUCAUAUCAAUUUGUGUUAAGUGGCAUUAGUAAGAGUGCUACUUUUGUAACAUCUUUUGUGAAAAAAUUAUAAGAGGGCCUAGGUCCGCAAGGGCACAUAAGCUUGAAUUUUAGUCUAGUGCUGAAAAUUAUAUUUUAAGAGUCGAUUAGGGAGUUUUUAACACAUGAAUAUUUGCCGACAAGUUGAAAAUGCAUUUUUAUGAAAAAAAUAAAAGAAAAAUAAAAUAAAAAAGAAAAAAGAAAAACAAGAGAGAAAAGAAAAUAAUAAAUCUCCAGCCCAUCCCUUAAGUUCGGCCCUAUUCUGAGGGCGACGUUUUGAAGCCGUUUGUGGCCUUUGCUCACUCACUGAUGAUGCCCACAGCUGAAUCAGGUCGUUUUGUAUCGAAUUGAAUUCUAGAUAUGAUUUCAGUUCAUUCCUGCUUUGCCCUCUCGCUUUUUUCAGAGUUGCACUGCCGUUGAUUGCGCUGUGGGGGAGGAAUCGAGUUUGCGAGGAAGGUGUUCGAUGAAAUGACGAAGCUGGACUCUGUUUCGAGAAGUACCUGUUCACGAUAGAGAUAAUUGACGACUCGGCAGUGGCGACCUCAAGCUUUGGAUUGGUGAUCGAGCGAAAGCAAGUCUCUCAAAGAUUGAUUCCAGAGAAGCUCGCUGAACUUGCUCGACAACGCCAUGAUCGUGCCUGCGACGUCUCGCCCAGGGAUAUUUCAGGGGCACUAGUUGUCGAUUAUCACUGGCGCUGCUCGUUUCCCAUGAAUUCAAGCUCCAGCAUGGUUCGUCAUUCUCGGUCAUGAUGACACAUACUUGAAGCACAUGGAGCAAGAAAUCUUCGAUCAAUUCAUGAAGCUAAGUUGUCAUGUCAUUCGAAUCGUUUGAAUUAGGAACUCUCUAGGGCGUCAAAGUCCAUAAAAGCAGGUCCCAAAGCCGGCACUCUGGAAUAGGCAGUUGAAGCGUUGAAAAGGGAAACAAAUUGAUGACGAUGCCAAAAAGAAAAGUUAAGUUCUAGGAUGGAGAGUGAUUUGGAGGAAAAAAUCAUAUCUUAUUCAGCGAAAAUUGUGAUGUCAAGAAGUGCUGAGGGACAAAGUGGCCAAAUUUGAAGCGGGUUUGUAUUCCAUGCUCUCUAACGCUCUUCCGUUUCAUGUUAGAGAAUGAGUUGAAGUUGGAAUAAUAUGAAGAAUUCAAGAUUUCUUUGAAACCUCUUUUUUCAAUGGGGUGAACACCGACUUGAAUGCUAUCAUGAUGGAUUGACGAAUAUCCACGAUGAAUGAAUAUGAGAUGGAAGGGGAUGAUGUUCUUGCAGUCGAACGACGAACUGUUUGAUUGAUUUCUCUAGUAAAUUCGAGAAAUAAUGCUUUUCAUGAA